This 970-nucleotide long non-coding RNA is filed under the name Apteryx owenii (little spotted kiwi). RNAcentral's name for it is "lncRNA (ENSAOWG00000015799.1)". The record is from RNAcentral. Lineage: Eukaryota; Metazoa; Chordata; Aves; Apterygiformes; Apterygidae.
AAAGGCUGAAGGAAGAGAAAAAAAGGUUUGACCUUUUGUCCAGAACUUCCAAAAAUGUGGUGGAUUCAUUCUUCCUGGCGGUUUUGUUUGUCCUUCUGAAUAUUACUGGGGUUUGGACAGUGGAGGAGAAUUCGAUAGUUUGGGUAGCUGAUGAAAGGCAACUGGAUGUGCAAAAACAAAUCUAAAUCUCCACUACUAUCUGGCAGCAACUGAAAGUGUUUCUUAUCUGAAAUGAACUGGGGAUCUCAAUGCAGUCCCAGCUCCCUGCAUCGCACAGCUAAUGGGCUUCUCGGUGAAAUGUUUAAGUCCCUCAUCUUCCUCUUUCAGGCUCUCGAGAGUGCCUUGUCUCCUCUCGCUGUAUUCUUACUUUCCUAUCACCCUCCCACCUCGCCACCUGCGCAGCGUCCGUUUUGCUUCCCAGGAUGAGGCAAUCCCAACGACCUGACUUCAGAUCCGCUGUCAAAGCAAGGAAGGAGGAAACUGUGAGUGAGCAAGUCCGCCUGCGUCCUCCUCCGCAACGCCUGCGCCGAGCUGCCCCGGGUCUCUGCGUGUCUCUGCAGGAACGGAGCCGUUGCUGACUCCAGACAAAGCUUGGAAUAGCUCUUCCCAAUGCAGUGAAGUUGAGAGAGGAAGCGAUUAUUCAUUUCCAGGAACAUUUGAACUAGAGCAAGCUCCUGGAAGUCUUUUUAGUGCUUGAUGUCAAUGUGUUUCCUCAGAAUGGUGACUUCUGCAUCCAAAGGGCAGCUUCGAAGGAGCCCAUUGCCCCUCCUGAGCCUCCUUUCUCCCUGUUGCCACUUUUCCAAGUUGGCAGAACUUCUGCUGCACAGGGCUGGGACAUGUUUGGGUUUGGACAGCAGAAGAACUGACCUCAGCACUGAAACUUCUGAAUUUGCAGGGAGGGCUCUGCCUUCUCUGUGUUCUCUGAAGUUCUCUUAAUUUAUGAUGCUCCAGGAAAAUGUUACUGUCAAUA